UAAGAACUGUGAUAAUAUUAUUUAGAGGAAGGUGUUUACAACUCAUCUCAGAUGAAAAUGUUCUGCUCAGAUGUAAAGAAAACACCGCUUAAGCAAUAUUGUGUUUCUUCAUACCGACUCAUUUUAGUUCCGUGGGAAAAACGGAUUGCACAAGGAGAUACACUACAUGCUAGUAUUGUGUACACAUAUCCUUCAACACCAGGUAAGAAAUCACCACCAUCUUGAAUUUCAUGAAGACCCCUCAGUCUAUCUGGCAUGCUUUUGUUACCUGAAAUUAUUUAUGCCUUUAGACAUUAGUCAAAGGCAUCUCCACAUCUUAGCUCUUUUCACUAAGCUAGAGUGGCUUCCUUUCCGAAAACUUGUUUUUAUUUGUGAAUUUAAAUUGUCUCUAUCUGGGAAAGAGACAACUCAAGACAAUAAACCAAAGGCUGUGGUAGAACUAAACACAUAUGUAAUAAAAGUUGGAUCCAUUGAUAGCACGUGUUGCCACACCCAUCCAUAUCUCCAUUAAAAUGAUAGGAGUUUCUUUAUUUUUUUGUAGAAUGACUAAACAUAAGACCAUAAACUAACAUGCUAGAUAUUAACAAAAUAAUGUUGUAACAAAUGUGCGCCAAUUGUUUGGUUUCAUCUACAAAUCACAUAAAUAUGGAUCAGUAUGUGAAACAAAAGUGAGCUUGGAUUGCUCAUGGGUAGCUAGAGCAUGUGUAAAAUAUGAAAUGAAUCAAUAGCCAUCCCACAGCCUGAGAUGCAAGCUCAAUAAAAAAUACUUUCACAAUGCUUGUCGUACGGAAGGCCAGAGUCACCACAACCAUAGACAUUAUUGCCUUAGAUUACCUCAGCCAACAUGAUAUUCAUCCCAAUAAUAUACCUACAGGCUUGCAUUAAAAUGACAGAAAAAUAAUAAAUGUUCGUACGGAUGUGGGAUAAAGUUCUACUUGAAUAAAAGAAACUCUAUUCCAUAAAUAAUAUCAAGUGUGGCUGAAUCAAAGGAAGAGAUGAAUUUAACAUAGACGACAAUAUAGGAAUAAUAUUAAAGUGGGUUGUUAGAAAAAAGGUGAUUGCGACAUCAUCAAUGGUGCAGAUAAAUAUGGGAAGAUAUCUCAUGAAGUGCACCCUAUCCUCAGAGGUUAUGAUCGCACGCUUUUCUAUCGAUGCAUGGUUUUUCGUAAUUAAUUUGGCGACUCUAUCUUUCCAUAUAGCAGAUAACUCAUGAAUUUGCAAGAAAAUAUUGAGCGGCCGACUCCUAAUAUUUUGCAUAGAGUAUAUGCUUAAGCGGCCGGCAUUCCUUCUAGUUGAUGGAUGUGGACUUGCUUAUACCAGUUAAUCAAUCAACAUUAGUUUUGCUCUAGACAAGGACAAUAGUGAAAUUAGGGAUCUCGCCACUAUUUCUAUUUUUUUCUUCAUUUAAAUGCAUCAUAAACCAGACAACUUGCUCAAGCUGUCAAAAUGUAUCAUGCCUGAUCUGACACCACAUAUUCUCACAAACCAGGCAACCAGCUCAAGGUCCUAAAAUGAAAGAACCUUAAUCACCCAGGUUGCAUCAUGCCUAAUCGAGUAUGAUCUACGAGGAGUAUAUUUUGUGUAGACAAAAUUCACAAACAAGAUCUGAAUGAAUAAUAAUAGUUUGCACUGCGUCGACAAACAUGAGCUCACCCAAGAUGGCGUGCAAAUAUGAUGGUUGUAGAAUCUGCCACAACGAGUGAAACAAAAAAACAAGAAAGUCAUAAGGUGUGGGGAAUGGAUAGGUUAUUGAUUGGAAAUAGAGUACAUUUUUUGAUAGAUCAAAUUAAUAUGUGUGCAUAAUGCAUAGUAUACAUGUUAGUAAUCACAAAUAUCAUGAUAUCAGUCCAACAAAUGCCCACUGUUCAAACCUGCAUACCAACAAAAGAAUGUGUUAAAUAUCUGAAAAGGAGCGUUUGAAGAACAAUGAAGCACCACUAAGUAACUUUUUUGGUGUAGAGUAUGCUAGUUACAGAACAUGCCUUAUUCAGACAUCCAGAGUUAUAAUGUUCUUCAAGUCUGCUAUUGGAGGAUUCAAAAGGAAUGACACAAAGCCUUACUUCAUAUACAAACCGUUGCCUUGCAGCCUCUCCACUCGGAUUCAAAAGGAAUGCCACAGUAAACAAUUCAAUAACUAAUGAUAACUAAUUAUUCAAAAGAGCAUAAGAGCACAUCAGGACUACUUUCCCAAUGAAGAGGAGCAAACUUACAUCAGUAACGUGGUUGUCUGGCAGCUUUUUUUGAGUGGGAUUGCCUUGCAGCUGCCCCACUAGCCCACAAGAAAGCCCGGCGAUGUAGAUGUCCCAAAUUUACUAUUAUGCGAGAAUGUUUCUAAAUUAUUACUGAAGCCGGAUGCAGAUAACUAUCAACAAAACUGAUUACCAUCGAAACCCUCUAAUUCGAGCACCCAAACCCUAGCGCCUCGCUCACCUCGUCAUCGUCGGUGGACUCCCUCUCCUCCUCAACUUCUUCCCCGCCCGCAGCGGCAGCACCGCCAUCAUCCUAGUCGUCAGCGCCCGCACCGGUUGUGAGUUGUGACAGACUCGGU
This 2548-nucleotide long non-coding RNA is filed under the name Triticum aestivum (bread wheat). RNAcentral's name for it is "long non-coding RNA (TAES_LNC012223)". Lineage: Eukaryota; Viridiplantae; Streptophyta; Magnoliopsida; Poales; Poaceae. The record is from RNAcentral.